RNAcentral lists this small RNA (117 nucleotides) under Marmota monax (woodchuck). Lineage: Eukaryota; Metazoa; Chordata; Mammalia; Rodentia; Sciuridae. The record is from RNAcentral.
GCCGGGUGCAGGGGCGCAUGCCUGUAGUCCCAGCUGCUUCGGAGGCGGAGGCAGGAGGGUUGCAAGUUCAGGCCCAGUCUCAGCAGUUUAGGGAGACAGCCACAACACCCUGCUCUU